RNAcentral lists this unclassified non-coding RNA (174 nucleotides) under uncultured fungus. RNAcentral's name for it is "sequence contains ITS1". The record is from RNAcentral. Lineage: Eukaryota; Fungi.
UUAUUAAAUUAACUUUUUACUCCGACGUAAGAAUGCAGUGUUUGAUGACCUCCGGGGGGAAUGCCGCGAACGGCAGGGUCGCCCCCGAAGCAACAUGAUGCGUUCACAGAGGGUUGGAGGUCGGGAUUGCUCCCUCACUCGGUAAUGAUCCCUCCGCAGGUUCACCUACGGAGA